Molecule: long non-coding RNA, 613 nt
Filed under: Marmota monax (woodchuck)
Lineage: Eukaryota; Metazoa; Chordata; Mammalia; Rodentia; Sciuridae
Source: RNAcentral
CUGAAUUGUGUUCCUUCAAAAUCGGUGCAUUAAAACCCUACACUCCAGUGCAUUUGUAUUUAUAGAUGAGGUCUUCAGGGAGGUAGUCAAGGUUAAAUGAGGAGUGGAGUUAAGUGUGGAACCCUGUUCCAGCAGGACUGGUGGUAUUAUAAGAAGAGGAACAGCAGAAAUCUCUCUCUCCCUUUCUCCAUGAGUUCCCAGAGGGAAGGCCCUGCAGUGACACAGUAAGGUGGCUGUCUUCAAUUGGAGAGAGAAUCUUCACCAGACAACCAGAUCAAGCCUGUUGAUCUUGGACUUCCAAUCUCCAGAACUGUGGGAAAGUUCAUUUCUGUUGUUCAGGCCCCAGCUCGUGGUACUCUCUGAGGCAGUCUGAGCAGACUGAUGUGCCUUCGCAUCCCUUUGGGGCUAGACUCUGAUUUAUUGGUCUGUGGCCUCUGUGGGAGUUUGUAUUUAACUUUUUCCAUUGGCAAAGGAACAGCAAAAUAAAUUGGACUCUGGAAAAGAAGAUACUCUAUUGCUUUGGAAUUUAUAGGGCCAUGUCAAUCAGGGCCCCAGUGAAGAGGUCUUUCCCAAGGUAGAGUCAUUAAUAUCUCUGGGGUGUUUUCUCUGACAC